UGGGGAAUAUUGGACAAUGGGCGAAAGCCUGAUCCAGCCAUGCCGCGUGUGUGAAGAAGGUCUUCGGAUUGUAAAGCACUUUAAGUUGGGAGGAAGGGCAGUAAGCGAAUACCUUGCUGUUUUGACGUUACCGACAGAACAAGCACCGGCUAACUCUGUGCCAGCAGCCGCGGUAAUACAGAGGGUGCAAGCGUUAAUCGGAAUUACUGGGCGUAAAGCGCGCGUAGGUGGUUCGUUAAGUUGAAUGUGAAAGCCCCGGGCUCAACCUGGGAACUGCAUCCAAAACUGGCGAGCUAGAGUAGGGCAGAGGGUGGUGGAAUUUCCUGUGUAGCGGUGAAAUGCGUAGAUAUAGGAAGGAACACCAGUGGCGAAGGCGACCACCUGGGCUCAUACUGACACUGAGGUGCGAAAGCGUGGGGAGCAAACAGG
RNAcentral lists this ribosomal RNA (429 nucleotides) under Pseudomonadota bacterium. RNAcentral's name for it is "Proteobacteria bacterium partial 16S ribosomal RNA". It matches the Rfam family "Bacterial small subunit ribosomal RNA", at positions 355 to 776 of the family's 1533-position model. The record is from RNAcentral. Lineage: Bacteria; Pseudomonadati; Pseudomonadota.